GAUUAAAUGGCUGAUAAAAGUAAUAGAUUGUAAAUCUAUCAAUGAAAUUUAAAAUUUCUUUAAUCA
RNAcentral lists this transfer RNA (66 nucleotides) under Polypedilum heberti. RNAcentral's name for it is "tRNA-Tyr". It matches the Rfam family "tRNA". Rfam says of the family: Transfer RNA (tRNA) molecules are approximately 80 nucleotides in length. Their secondary structure includes four short double-helical elements and three loops (D, anti-codon, and T loops). Further hydrogen bonds mediate the characteristic L-shaped molecular structure. tRNAs have two regions of fundamental functional importance: the anti-codon, which is responsible for specific mRNA codon recognition, and the 3' end, to which the tRNAs corresponding amino acid is attached (by aminoacyl-tRNA synthetases). tRNAs cope with the degeneracy of the genetic code in two manners: having more than one tRNA (with a specific anti-codon) for a particular amino acid; and 'wobble' base-pairing, i.e. permitting non-standard base-pairing at the 3rd anti-codon position. Lineage: Eukaryota; Metazoa; Arthropoda; Insecta; Diptera; Chironomidae. The record is from RNAcentral.